UUGUUAAAUUGGAAAUUAAUGUUUAAACAUAACUUCAGUCUCCACAAUGUUCCAUUGUGGAACAAUAGGGUGAUAUUGAAUCAGGGGAAAUCUAUGUUUGUGGAAGAAUGGAUGACAAAACAAAUUUGGUCUGUGACACAUAUAAUGGAUGAAAAUGGAGACAUACUUGAAUUAAACAGGCUUAAUGAGAAAUAUGACAUGAGUUGCUCGUUCGAGCUCUAUAAAAAGGUUUCACAGAAUAUCCCAACAGUCCUUGUAAAUACGGUAAAGAACAAUUUUUCAAAUAUACAGACUCCAAAUUUGCAUAAAGUUAAACUAGAUGGUCUUGACUUGGUUAAUGGAAAAUGCAAUAAUCAGUUUUUGAGGAGGUAUUUGGUUAACACCUUAUAUCCAGGUAGGACAAAACAUUCACCCGUCUUUAAAGAUUAUAACAAAUCUGAGAUCUCGUUGAUCAGAACCAAAUAUUUAACAUUUCCAAUUCCCCCCAAAUUUAAAGAAGUCCAUUUUAGAACUACAAAAAAUAUUUACCCCUCCAAUGAAUUUAUGAGAGACAGAUUUAAAUUUGUGUUAGACAACUGUUAUAUUUGUAAAAUAACUUCGGAAACAACAGAGCACAUGUUCUAUGGAUGUGUGACAAUCCAGAAUUUAUGGAAAUCUCUCCAUGUCCUAAUAUUGUCCCAGUAUGGAUAUAUUGAUUUUUGGUCUUUUCAAAAUAUUCAAAUUGGAGUAAUCCUUAUGGACAAAAAUAGUGAGUUUUUAGUUAACAAUCUCAUUAUUAUAACAAAGUAUUACAUACAUAAAUGCCGAUAUGCUAAAUCCCCCCCUUCAUGGCCUGCUCUUAAAAACGACCUCUCCCUGUUCCGUAAAUCUCUUAAACUAAUAAAUAAGCCCCAAGCAAUCAAAUUGCAUAGAUUUUUAGAAGAGUUUGAUUUUUCUUAGCCCCUUAUUUAAGUUAUGAGUCUUGUUUAUGGAACCUCACUUUUAGAGAUUUUUUGAUCCCCUUGUCUUCUUUAUUUCUGUUACUUGUUUUUCAUUCUUUUUUUAUUCUUAUUUAUUUUUGUAUUGGUUAUUCAUCUUUUUAUAUUAUUAUUAUGUAGAUGUGUGAAUAUGGAUGUGUAUGUAUGCAUGUGUAUAUGCAUAUAUAUGUAUAUAUAUAUGUGUGUGUGUGUAUGUUUACUUUCAGUUAUUGUCGAUUUCAUUGUGGUGUACAGGAGAUGUGAUUCUGUUCUGAUUGAUUUAAUAUGUCGCUUGUCUCUUUGAGAUUGUCAUUGUUAUUGCUCUAAAUAAAGUUCAUUUAAAAAAAAAAUCCCGCUUGUGGAGGCUGCCAUCUUGCACUUUUGGAGCCAGAGUCUGCGCAGUAGUGAUUUGAGGUGGAGGAGUGUCUUUUUUUUAAUUUAUUUUUUUUUUUGUGGAGCGACUGUGUCACGCUCCCGUCCACACACCCGCUGGACGGGACCGCGAACACGCCCCCUACACUUACGUAGCCCGGCUGCUCCAAUUUAUCUGCUGACGGAUUUGCAAUGCAAUCAACAGCAUCAAGACUGACGGAGUGUGUUUGAGAUAACCUCACACGUGUCACAGGUGACACAAGUGGCGUUUU
This is a long non-coding RNA of Astatotilapia calliptera (eastern happy), 1600 nucleotides long. Lineage: Eukaryota; Metazoa; Chordata; Actinopteri; Cichliformes; Cichlidae. The record is from Ensembl.